UUUCCUACGGGCGGCAGCAGUAGGGAAUAUUGGUUAAUGUGCGAAAGCGCGAACCAGCAACGCCGCGUGUGCGAUGAAGGCCUUCGGGUCGUAAAGCACUUUUUGCAGGGACGAGGAAGGACGGUACCUGCAGAAUAAGUCUCGGCUAACUACGUGCCAGCAGCCGCGGUAAAACGUAGGAGACGAGCGUUAUCCGGAUUUACUGGGCGUAAAGCGCGUGCAGGCGGCAUGGCAAGUUGGAUGUGAAAGCUCCCGGCUUAACUGGGAGAGGUCGUUCAAUACUGCCAGGCUUGAGGGUGGUAGAGGGAAGCGGAAUUCCGGGUGUAGUGGUGAAAUGCGUAGAUAUCCGGAGGAACACCAGUGGCGAAAGCGGCUUCCUGGCCCAUUUCUGACGCUCAGACGCGAAAGCUAGGGUAGCAAACGGGAUUAGAUACCCUAGUAGUC
Molecule: ribosomal RNA, 444 nt
Filed under: uncultured Longilinea sp.
Lineage: Bacteria; Bacillati; Chloroflexota; Anaerolineae; Anaerolineales; Anaerolineaceae
Description: bacterial SSU rRNA
Rfam family: Bacterial small subunit ribosomal RNA
Source: RNAcentral